RNAcentral lists this ribosomal RNA (468 nucleotides) under uncultured bacterium. Its description in RNAcentral is "partial 16S ribosomal RNA". It matches the Rfam family "Bacterial small subunit ribosomal RNA", at positions 28 to 507 of the family's 1533-position model. The record is from RNAcentral.
GACGAACGCUGGCGGCGUGCUUAACACAUGCAAGUCGAACGGAAAGGCCCUGCUUUUGUUGGGUGCUCGAGUGGCGAACGGGUGAGUAACACGUGAGUAACCUGCCCUUGACUUUGGGAUAACUUCAGGAAACUGGGGCUAAUACCGGAUAGGAGCUCCUGCUGCAUGGUGGGGGUUGGAAAGUUUCGGCGGUUGGGGAUGGACUCGCGGCUUAUCAGCUUGUUGGUGGGGUAGUGGCUUACCAAGGCUUUGACGGGUAGCCGGCCUGAGAGGGUGACCGGCCACAUUGGGACUGAGAUACGGCCCAGACUCCUACGGGAGGCAGAAGUGGGGAAUAUUGCACAAUGGGCGGAAGCCUGAUGCAGCAACGCCGCGUGCGGGAUGAAGGCCUUCGGGUUGUAAACCGCUUUCGCCUGUGACGAAGCGUGAGUGACGGUAAUGGGUAAAGAAGCACCGGCUAACUACGUG